This 117-nucleotide small RNA is filed under the name Pongo abelii (Sumatran orangutan). Its description in RNAcentral is "Metazoan signal recognition particle RNA (ENSPPYG00000030396.1)". It matches the Rfam family "Metazoan signal recognition particle RNA". Rfam says of the family: The signal recognition particle (SRP) is a universally conserved ribonucleoprotein. It is involved in the co-translational targeting of proteins to membranes. Lineage: Eukaryota; Metazoa; Chordata; Mammalia; Primates; Hominidae. The record is from Rfam by way of RNAcentral.
GCCGGGCGUGGUGGCUCAUGCCUGUAAUCCCAGUAAUUUGGGAGGCCGAGGCGGGUGGAUCACCUGAGGUCAGGAGUUCGAAACCAGCCUGACCAACAUGGUGAAACCCCGUCUCUA